Molecule: ribosomal RNA, 253 nt
Filed under: uncultured bacterium
Lineage: Bacteria
Description: partial 16S ribosomal RNA
Rfam family: Bacterial small subunit ribosomal RNA
Source: RNAcentral
UACAGAGGGUGCGAGCGUUGUCCGGAAUCACUGGGUGUAAAGGGCGCGUAGGCGGCUUUUCACGCGUGCGGUGAAAGCUCGGGGCUUAACUCCGAGUCUGCCGUGCGAACGGGGAGGCUUGAGUCUGGUAGAGGUCGAUGGAAUUCCGGGUGUAGCGGUGGAAUGCGUAGAGAUCCGGAAGAACACCGGUGGCGAAGGCGGUCGACUGGGCCAGUACUGACGCUGAGGCGCGACAGCGUGGGGAGCAAACAGG